AAUUAGUUUCGGCGUGGUCGUCUAGUGAAGAAGUUGGGCAGCUGCCGUCUAAUGAAAUAGUGACAAAUUUUGUGUUGGUUUCUCCUAAUAAUCAGUUAUUUCUUCUGAUUAACUAGUUUACUAACAAAGUUUUGACUGAAGCUGUUAUACAAGUGUCUCCUCGUUACGUCUCACGACUCUCACCUGGUCUCAUCCCAUUGCCUCGACAAACUGGAUCGGGUCUUCUAGAAUCUAUCGGGCCCCCACUUUUAAUCCAGAUGUAUGUUUCGUGUACACACCCCUCUCGAGAGCAAUGCGAUACGUCCACUGAGAAGUUUGUCGAUACAUUGGCCACCACCUGACGUCAUCAUUUUCCUCGGGGGGUCGACAUUUCGUAUUGAGGGGAUCGACUGGAGCCAAAUGUCAAACUCGGACUUUGUAGUAUAGCAGGGAAUGACGUGAAGACGCUGAGAGUUUCACACGACACUUUCACGCUUGUUGGCCGCGGCUGAACUACUUGACGUCUCCCUUCGAAGGAAAUCGUGCGAUUGGCGAAAGGCUUUGGGCAUCGUGUCGCUCCACGUGACGUGCGGUUUUUUCGUUUCCGUCGCUGCUGCCGUUCCAGCAAGUGUCGAAGAGGAUCCCAUGCCGAAGCCUUUGUACGACCGUGGUAGGGUGGCCGGUCCAAAAUCGCACGACCCUGUGAAGAAUUAAGAAACAAAAAACACGAUCCUUUCGUUAAUUGGUUUCGACGUGAAAAGAGAACUAUCUGUCGUGUACGGAGGUGUGAUGAGUCCGGCUUCAAUCGACUGCUGAUGCGUCAUCAUCAUGUUCGGCGGAGGCGGGGGAGGAGGCAGCGAUGGCGAGUGAGCAGACGGUGGAGGUUCGCCAACUGGCCAGCCGAGUUGCGUCAAUCCGGUGUGACAAAACAUUUGGUUCUUCCAGUGGUCGGGCUCAAUCCUGGACACGAACAUGGGACCACCUCCGCCGGCGUCUAGAUUGCAGUCUACGCUAUCCAUCAGGGGUUUGAGCGAUUGCGAUCGGGGAUUCACACCUCCGCCUCUCGCCGCCUUCGAGAUGGUCGAAGCACCGCCCGCUGUUCCAUUUGUUUGGUUGAGGGUCGACUCGGAAGUGCGGAUUAGUCCGCCGUUGGAUGCAUUGCCAAUCCCGUCAUUGUUGGCCGCCGCCUGGGCUUCUCGGAUGCACUGACGUCGCAGGAAGACGACAACGACGAUGCCAGCGAUGCACAGCAACAAUACCACCCCACUGAGGAUCCCCAGCGUUGGAGUCAGGAUUGAAUUACUUGGGCGUGGUUCUGCAAAAAAGAGAAAGCGGACAGACAAAAAAUACGAGUAACACAAGUCAAGGAAUUUGUUGCUGCAGAUGCCACAAGAUCUUAUCGCAAUCCGUCGCUUCUUAGUUACGUUAACUAGUGUUAGACUGACAACAAAAGGAUUGACGUUAGAAAAGAGGAAACGCUCUUGAAAGAUAAAUAAUCUAACCGUAUGAGGGGUGAAAAGGCGAUGUGGCGGUGUCGGUGGCAGGAAAAAAAGGAAAUAAAGUCAAAAGAGGAAGAAAAGUAAGACAGGAUAUGCGCUGUGUGGGCUUGUGUGUGUGUGUGUGUAUACUCUCGAGUGAAUAGAACCGCCGCAGACUCCCGCGGGAUCGAAAAUGAGUAAACAAGGGACCUGAUAUUAUGUAUACAGCCGUUGCUCCCCAACAUAUCCAUAUUUCUAGCUGCGAGAGAGAUGCACUGGCUGCGACAGUCAAUUUCGUUUUCGUUUGUAAGCAAAAGCAACAAACCAACAUCAAUAUUCUAGCACUUCUGCUACUGCUGUUACGUAUAAAGGAGCGGCUGUGUGUAGAUUCUCUUGACUUAUUACAUCAGAAAUUCCAUCAAUAUAGUAGGGCCUCAAUAGAUCAAUAGAAAAGAAUAAAAACAUUUUUUUGUGGGAAUAAGGGACGGGAGAAAAAAGUAAGAAAAAGUAAUCGGACCUGUCGACUUGCCUGGUUUGACCUCCAGCUGUCUCUCCGGCUCUUUCUGGGUAGAUAUUUCGACAAUGACAUCGUCGCUCUUGCCUUUGGCGUUGAUGGAAGCAAUGGAAGCCUUGUAGCGCAUGUUCGUCUUGAGACUUGACAGGAGGAAGAUGGGUUCGGCGAAAAUCUGGUGGAUGACGAGUCGACCUGACGAGUUGCUCUCCUCGAAGAAGUGGAGCGAGAAAUUCUGCGGCAGUCCACCGUGAAAACCCGGCUGGCAGGCGAUCAGGAACGCAUCGCUGGAGUGGUUGGAAACGGUGCAGUUGAAGACCGGCUCGGGUGGACCUGAUGAGUAACAAGGAAAUUCAACCAGGCGAAAAUUCAUUACACGUUGUGUGUGUACAUUUGGGUAAAUGAUGUUCAAUGCGGACAAGUUUGGAUAUUACCUUGUAGAAUUACACUGUACCGUAUUACACUGCUUUUACAUAUA
RNAcentral lists this long non-coding RNA (2446 nucleotides) under Daphnia pulex (common water flea). Its description in RNAcentral is "uncharacterized LOC124190528, transcript variant X3". The record is from RNAcentral. Lineage: Eukaryota; Metazoa; Arthropoda; Branchiopoda; Diplostraca; Daphniidae.